UGAGUACGAGCUGCUACGGCAGCGAAGUGGGUGAUGUCAUGCUUCCAAGAAAAGCCCUAUACCCGUUAAGGCAUGAUGGCCUGUACCCGAAACCGACACAGGUGGGGUGGUAGAGAAUACCGAGGGGCGCGAGGUAACUCUCUCUAAGGAACUCGGCAAAAUGGCCCCGUAACUUCGGGAGAAGGGGUGCCACCGCAAGGUGGUCGCAGUGAAGAGGCCCAGGCGACUGUUUACCAAAAACACAGGUCUCCGCUAAGUCGCAAGACGAUGUAUGGGGGCUGACGCCUGCCCAGUGCCGGAAGGUUAAGGAAGCUGGUCAGCGUAAGCGAAGCUAGCGACUGAAGCCCCGGUGAACGGCGGCCGUAACUAUAACGGUCCUAAGGUAGCGAAAUUCCUUGUCGGGUAAGUUCCGACCCGCACGAAAGGCGUAACGAUCUGGGCGCUGUCUCGGAGAGAGGCUCGGCGAAAUAGAAUUGUCUGUGAAGAUGCGGACUACGUGCACCCGGACAGAAAGACCCUAUGAAGCUUUACUGUAGCUUGGUAUUGUGCUCGGGCUCGGAAUGCGCAGGAUAGGUGGGAGGCUAUGAACCAUUGCUUGUGGGUGAUGGUGAGCCACUGGUGAGAUACCACUCUUUCCGAGCUAGAGUUCUAACAGCCACCCGUUAUCCGGGGGCUGGACAGUAUCAGGUGGGCAGUUUGACUGGGGCGGUCGCCUCCUAAAAGGUAACGGAGGCGCGCAAAGGUUUGCUCAGGCUGGUUGGAAAUCAGCCGACGAGUGUAAAAGCAGAAGCAAGCUUGACUGUGAGACCUACAAGUCGAACAGGGAGGAAACUCGGCUUUAGUGAUCCGACGGUUCUGCGUGGAAGGGCCGUCGCUCAACGGAUAAAAGUUACUCUAAGGAUAACAGGCUGAUCUCCCCCAAGAGUUCACAUCGACAGGGAGGUUUGGCACCUCGAUGUCGGCUCAUCGCAACCUGGGGCUGAAGUCGGUCCCAAGGGUUGGGCUGUUCGCCCAUUAAAGCGGUACGCGAGCUGGGUUCAGUACGUCGUGAGACAGUUCGGUCCAUAUCCGGUGCAUGCGCAGGAAUAUUGAGAGGAUUUCUCCCUAGUACGAGAGGACCGGGAGGAACGCACCUCUGGUGUACCAGUUAUCGUGCCAACGGUAAACGCUGGGUAGCCAUGUGCGGAGAGGAUAACCGCUGAAAGCAUCUAAGUGGGAAGCCCACCUCAAGAUGAGUAUUCCCAUGGGGUAACCCAGUAAGGUCACGGGAAGAACACCCGUUGAUAGGCUCUACGUGGAAGCGCAGUAAUGUGUGAAGCGGAGGAGUACUAAUAGACCGAGGGCUUGAC
Molecule: ribosomal RNA, 1349 nt
Filed under: metagenome
Description: bacterial LSU rRNA
Rfam family: Bacterial large subunit ribosomal RNA
Source: RNAcentral